GUAGGUGAACCUGCGGAAGGAUCAUUAUCGAGUUAGGGUCUUCCAGGCCCGAUCUCCAACCCUGUGUCUACCUUACCACGUUGCUUCGGCGGGCCCGCCUCACGGCCGCUGGAGGACCAACCGGUCCUCUGGCCCGCGCCCGUCGAUAGCCUAACCUUAAACUCCUGAUGAAUUGUGUCGUCUGAGUAACAAAAAUAAAUAAGCAAAAAACUUUCAACAACGGAUCUCUUGGUUCUG
This 237-nucleotide unclassified non-coding RNA is filed under the name rhizosphere metagenome. RNAcentral describes it as "partial ribosomal RNA internal transcribed spacer region". The record is from RNAcentral.